AGUCAAUCUACCCUAUGGACGGGAAUAAUCUCGGGAAACUGAGAAUAAUGCCCGAUAGAACAUUAUGCCUGGAAUGGUUUAUGUUUCAAAUGAUUUAUCGCCAUAGGAUGGGACUGCGGCCUAUCAGUUUGUUGGUGAGGUAAUGGCCCACCAAGACUAUUACAGGUACGGGCUCUGAGAGGAGUGGCCCGGAGAUGGGUACUGAGACACGGACCCAGGCCCUAUGGGGCGCAGCAGGCGAGAAAACUUUGCAAUGUGCGAAAGCACGACAAGGUUAAUCCGAGUGGUUUCUGCUAAAGAAACCUUUUGUCAGUCCUAGAAACACUAACGAAUAAGGGGUGGGCAAGUUCUGGUGUCAGCCGCCGCGGUAAAACCAGCACCUCAAGUGGUCAGGAUGAUUAUUGGGCCUAAAGCAUCCGUAGCUCGUUUUGUAAGUUUUCGGUUAAAUCCAUACGCUUAACGUAUGGGCUGCCGGGAAUACUGCAUAACUAGGAAGUGGGAGAGGUAGACGGUACUCGGUAGGAAGGAGUAAAAUCCUUUGAUCUAUUGAUGACCACCUGUGGCGAAGGCGGUCUACCAGAACACGUUCGACGGUGAGGGAUGAAAGCUGGGGGAGCAAACCGGAUUAGAUACCCGGGUAGUCCCAGCUGUAAACUAUGCAAACUCAGUGAUGCAUUGGC
This 680-nucleotide ribosomal RNA is filed under the name uncultured crenarchaeote. Its description in RNAcentral is "bacterial SSU rRNA". It matches the Rfam family "Archaeal small subunit ribosomal RNA", at positions 102 to 783 of the family's 1478-position model. Lineage: Archaea; Thermoproteati; Thermoproteota. The record is from RNAcentral.